UUUCCACAGCCUGGAUGGAAGGAGAGAAGGGCUCCAGCAAACUCAGGAGGAUGCCGACCCCAUGAGAGCCUUCCUCAGAAGGAUACAGCCACUCAGCCCUUUAGGUCGAUUCAGAAGAAGGUGCCAUGUGCUCUUUGCAUGUGUUUCACAGUGUUUUGAAGAAGAGGUGGAAAAAGGAGAUACAAAAGCAAAGAAGUAAAAAAUGAAUUUCCUGGAAAACAAUUCUCCGCAAGAUGAGAAGAUGGCACCUUCUUUCCAUCUUCAGAGAUGGGUUGACCUCAUAAAUGCUUUUUGUACUUCUGAACACUAGGCUCAUUCUUAUCUGUCUAGUCCUAUCCAUCAGCCUUCAAAAGCAUUCAAGUUCUCUCAAAAAUAUCUAUACCCAAAAGUUAUGAAAAUGAGCAUAUCGGUGCAAAUGGAGCACAGAAUCAUCUUGGCACCAAAUCCUUUCCUUCCUGCUGCUGAGAUAUCCACUGAAUCAGGCAAAUAGAGUUCUGUGCUAAACCCCUGGGAGAGUUCCCUAGGACUGAAGUUCAAUUUUGUAAAACUUAAAAUGUCUUUGAAACAGAUGACUAUCUUCCAGAAGUUUCUAAACCAUAUGUUCCAAUGAUAUUAAUAAUAAGUAUCAUUCUAUUCUAAGUCUUAUAUUCUUCAUAAUCUUAUAAGAGAGGUAUGAUUAUUUCCAACUUGCGAAUGAAGAAACCAAAGCCUACAGAGACUAAAUAACUUGCCCAGAGUAACACAGCUGGUAAAUUGCCAAAUAUGAACCUGGUUGGUCUGACUCUACAACCAAUAUUAGGAAUGAGCGCACUGUACUUCUCAACUAUCCCUUCCUGGGACUCAGUUUUUAUCUGCUAGCCAAUUGAAAUGGUUCUAAUUAUCCUAAUCCACUGGUUGGGAUGUCACUAUAAAUGCUGCACUGGUUUUGUUUAAAAUCCCAUUACACGAGUUUCAUAAAGCAAACCACUAUUGAAAAGUCAGACUUACUCUAAGGCCACUAUUAAGUUUCUGAGGCCAUACUCAUUGUGUGUUGAGAUCACUGCAUCCAUAAAUAAGCUAGAAAGAGUAAAUGACUGAUUGCUCCUCUGUGAACUCUUCAACAAUUUUCUCAUAUCUUAAAAUGAUCUCUCCCCUCCAAAUCCAUAGUGAAUCAUUAGGUGGUAUUUGAUUCCAUAACAAUAGGAAAUGCACUGGUUCCAUGAACGUAAUCCCUGGAUGUCAUGAUCGAAUAUGCGUUUUGUUAGUUUGGCUGGUACUUCACGUGGGUUCUCAUCAAUAAGCCUAUUUUACCCUGUCAGGAAGCAUGAGAUCUAUGGCAGCCUUUCUUCUUUUAAUUUUAUUUUUUAAUUGAAGCAUGGUUGAUUUUACAAUACUGUGUUAGUGUCAGGGAUACAGUAAAGUGAUUAAGACAUAUAUAUGGUAUAUAUGUGUGUGUAUAUAUUCAUAUGUAUACAUAUAUAUGCUUACUUUAGUAGGGAUACUUUUUUCAGAUGCUUUUCCAUUUAUAGGUUAUUACACAAUAUUGACUACAGUUCCUUGUGCAAUACAGUAGGUCUGUGUUGUUUAUUUUAUAUGCAGUAGUAUAUAUAUGUCAAUCUCAAAUUCCCAAUUUAUCCCCCAACCCCGCUUUCCCCUUUGGUAACCAUAACUUUGUUUUCUAUGUCUGUGAGUCUACUUCUGUUUUGAUAAGUUCUCUUGUGUCAUUUUUUUUUUUUUAGAUUUCACACUUAAGUGAUAUCAGACGAUAUUUGUCUUUCUCAGUCUGACUUACCUCACAUAGUAUGAUAAUCUCUAGGUCUACCAUGUUUCUGCAAAUGGCAUAAUAUCAUCCUUUUUCAUCACUGAGUAAUAUUUCAUUGUGUAUAUGUAUAUAUAUAUAUACACAUUGCAUAUAUAUAUAUGUACACAUAUACACAAUGAAAAAUAUAUAUAUAUAUAUCACAUCUUUAUCCAUUCAUAUGUCAAUAGACAUUCAGGUUGCUUCCAUAAUGGUAACGUUUCUUGAAAUAUGCAUUCACUAACUUCAUGGAUUUCCUCCUCCCAAAAGAAAGCUCCACAACACUAAUAGGGCUGGUAUCCUAGGAAAGGUAGUGGAAGCAGUAGCAGGAGUAGUAGUACUAGUAAUGGUAGUAGUAACAUUUCACUGAGUACCAGGCACAGUGCUGUGAUUCUGCUUCACCACAUCCCUAUAUGAUGACGUAAGUACUAGGAGUUUCCCAUUUUAAAGAUGAGGAAGUCGAGGUAGAGAACAAGGAGGGUAUCCUGGCCAUCGGAAAGUCGAGAUUUCAUAACCACUUUGUAUUGGGCAGGCAGGCAGUCUCUCUACUAUGGCAAAUAAUCCUGAGUCUCAGCAGCUUAAUCUAAUAAAGGUUUAUUCCACUUGUAUCACAGUCUGAUCAGUCAGUAGCGCCUUCCACAAGGUGAUUCAGAGACAUUGCCCCCUUCCUCCUACAGAUUCUACCAUCUUCUGGUCCCUGGAGUUCUCCUUUGACCACCUCCAGCUGGUGGAGAAUGAGAAGGCCUAGAAUGUGGUCUCCAGUGGGAUCAGGAGGCAAAGGAGCCCCUUGGUGAACAUUUACUAGGCUGAUAGAAAGUUCACAGAAGCCAGGGGGCAAUCAACGCUGCGUCUUCUAAAGGGACUUGCUCAACAACUAAAUGAAGGAAGCAGCAUCCGGUGAUGGCCAGUGGCAUGAGAACAUUCUCUGACUCAACUGAAAUGUGGCCCGAAGUCUCAGAACUAGCUCAGACUUGGCAAAGUACCAGAAGCAAAAGACACACAUGUUGAAUGACUCCCUCCAGCUUGGGAGACACAGCUUUCUCCUGACACCCCAACGUGCCUCUCCAGACAACAUGCAUCCUCCCAGCCGGAACCUCAAGAAUACUCUGGAAGAGGAGGGCAGAGAGGCUGUAAAAACGCCUCGUCACACCGUGAGUCAGCAGUGGCUCUUCCACCGUCGGAAAGGGGCACCACUGGGCAAACGUGGACCAGGGCGCUCUGGAGAGGAGGACGAGGAGGAAGGGGCGGCGGAGCGAGAGGCUCAAGUAGCAGCCUGCUCUUGGCAGGGGCUGUUGCUCAUUCUCUUUGGCUGGCUCUGACUACCUGUCUGAAAGCGCUGCAAUGCAGGAAGGAAAUUUUUCAGGAGAUUAAACUAUUAUUGUUU
RNAcentral lists this long non-coding RNA (3161 nucleotides) under Sus scrofa (pig). RNAcentral's name for it is "lncRNA (ENSSSCG00000036894.2)". The record is from RNAcentral. Lineage: Eukaryota; Metazoa; Chordata; Mammalia; Artiodactyla; Suidae.